AGAGCUCCGAGAGCGCUACAACUACGCGCUCCGUAAACAAGUGGGUGGAAACCGGCCCUAGCGACUCCACCCAGAAACGGGGAAAACGAACCAAUGGGCGCCGGGAAUACGUAAGGACCCAACGUCCUCCAGUCCCGGGCCGAGGCGUAACCCUUCAGCCAAUCCGGGACUAAGGGCAAAACCAAUAGACUCGUUGUUGGAGGGGGUGACUUGGAGAGCAUCCCGGGAAGCUAGGCGUUUUGGGUGAAGCCAUGAGGGAAAACAAGGCAGAAAUAAAGAGGUGACCCUGAGUCCUGCUUCCCUGAGAAUCCUCUCCUCAAAAUGUGUCUAUUGAUACCAUCCAUUUGGUGAACUGUUGUCAAGUACCAGAAGGAAGAAGAGGCCCUUCUCCCUUCCUAAGCUGUCGCCUGACCUGGUCAUGUAGGGGGAACCUUCAUUUAACCCUUCUCAAUCGGUUUCCCUUAUCCUCAGUUCUUUGAAGGCCAAACUGCCCAAACAAAUCCUCUACAUGUGUUCCUCCUGUUUCUCCAAGGAUCACCUUGAUAAGCUCAGUCACCCUUUCUCACUCUUGUUU
This is a long non-coding RNA of Bos taurus (domestic cattle), 574 nucleotides long. The record is from Ensembl. Lineage: Eukaryota; Metazoa; Chordata; Mammalia; Artiodactyla; Bovidae.